UUAAAUUGAAGAGUUUGAUCAUGGCUCAGAUUGAACGCUGGCGGCAGGCCUAACACAUGCAAGUCGAACGGUAACAGGAAGAAGCUUGCUUCUUUGCUGACGAGUGGCGGACGGGUGAGUAAUGUCUGGGAAACUGCCUGAUGGAGGGGGAUAACUACUGGAAACGGUAGCUACUACCGCAUAACGUCGCAAGCCCAAAGAGGGGGACCUUCGGGCCUCUUGCCAUCGGAUGUGCCCAG
This 239-nucleotide ribosomal RNA is filed under the name Escherichia coli. RNAcentral's name for it is "partial 16S ribosomal RNA". It matches the Rfam family "Bacterial small subunit ribosomal RNA", at positions 1 to 234 of the family's 1533-position model. The record is from RNAcentral. Lineage: Bacteria; Pseudomonadati; Pseudomonadota; Gammaproteobacteria; Enterobacterales; Enterobacteriaceae.